AACGUAGGUGGCAAGCGUUAUCCGGAUUUACUGGGCGUAAAGGGUGUGCAGGCGGUGCGACAAGUGGUGUAUUAAAUCUCCCAGCUUAACUGGGAUAGGUUAUGCCAGACUGUCGUUCUAGAGGACGAGAGAGGGGGGUGGAAUUCCGGGUGUAGUGGUGAAAUGCGUAGAGAUCCGGAGGAACCCCAGAGGCGAAGGCGGCCCCCUGGGUCGUACCUGACUCUCAGCCACGAAAGCAUGGGGAGCGAACGGG
Molecule: ribosomal RNA, 253 nt
Filed under: uncultured bacterium
Lineage: Bacteria
Description: partial 16S ribosomal RNA
Rfam family: Bacterial small subunit ribosomal RNA
Source: RNAcentral